Long non-coding RNA from Coregonus clupeaformis (lake whitefish), 1466 nucleotides. RefSeq lists it as uncharacterized. The record is from RefSeq and is a predicted model, not a curated record. Lineage: Eukaryota; Metazoa; Chordata; Actinopteri; Salmoniformes; Salmonidae. The transcript has 3 exons.
CAUUACAAAAGUGGUGGGUGACGCGCUGAUAGCCUGCCUACCGUUGACUACAGCCUAUGCAUCCGAAUGGCGAAUGGGAGACGCGCUUUACGAGUUCCUCCUUUUUACAAUCGUGGCUAGUAAAGUUAAUAAUUCUAAAUGCAAUCGCGUGUUAUUUGUUUCACAAUGACUGGGCUUACAAAAGCAGGUUUCACUCCAGUAGCCUACAGGCUUUUUGAGGCGCUACUCUCCCGCUGUCUGACAGGUGGUAAACUAUUCCGGUCCUCAAACUAGGCUUUGUAUUCUGUGUUUGUGUGAUAAAUAAAAUGCAUGAUGACUAAUGAAAAUACAUGAGCGCCAAUUUAUUCCACAAAAUUAUGCAAAUGUGUUAUAGACCGAUAAGCAUGACAGGUCAAAUGUAUUUGAUGGUUAACCGAUUAACGGUUAACCAUUAACAUCCAUACUUCAAAAUGUACAACUUCAAAUUAAACCAAAUCGUUUGCACUCAUGACUACUGGUUUACAUUUUAUUUUUCAGCCAACUUCCAAGCAAAUUUUAAUUUGUUACAAAUCAGCUUGCUAGCCAACUAGUAGUAUGGCUAGUAGCUAACAUUAGCCAGCUGGAGCUAGCUAGGUAACACUGGUUCUCCAUAUGACGUUGAGAAAUAGUGCAUUGUGGGAAGUUCCGAAGAGAUCCGAAAAUAAGUUAAUAUUUAAAAACGCUAAAACAGAACUGCUUGUAGUUAUAGGUAACCAGAUCGUGACAACAACUAAGUUAUUAAGUCUUUGACCACACUGUGUUGGUACUUUGUGGGAGGCGGUGAAAAAGUUCAGCAUUUCCCAACUUUAUGGAAAUCACCAGCUGUGACCGCUGAGGGAUGACCAAUCAUAUCAAGUGGUUCCCAUGACGAAUUUGACGCUAUGGGACCCAUGAUGGUGACUUUCUUCAGCAAAGAUGGCUGACAAAAAUACUAGGAGGGAACAAAAUGGACUCCUGGGGAAACCAGCAAACAGUGGAUGUAAAGAAUCUAGCUAGAUAAAGCAUUUACUGCAAAUUGAAUGUCUAAUUUUGUAAGCUUGCCUUGAUGAUACUUCCCAUGCAAUGCAGCUGAAGUAACGUAGCUAGCUAACUAUUUUCUUGCUUAUUGUGUAGUGGAGUAUAAAAAUACCUAUGUGCCUAUGGAUGUGUAGCUAGCUAUGUAGCCGAUCUGUGUAUGGACCCUAAAACGUUUGGUAUAAAUAUUAGUUCAGAACCUAGCUAUGAACCUCAACUCUCAUAGCCUGUUUUAUCAACUUCAAACAGUCUGAAUGGCAUUAAUGAAGCCUAUGGAUUGAGUAGAAUAUAAUAUAACUUUAUUGUGCCAAGGAUGCAAGUCCUAUAUGCAUGUAGUUAUUACCAAGCAUGAGAUCCCCACAUUGUAGCCUGUACAUUGAAUAUAUUCACUGAUCAUAUACUCUACCUUGGCAAAUAAAGGUGCGUUUCAGGUA